AUUCUCAUGUGCUAGGAUAUCCUUUAAUUCAGUAAAAAAGAAAAGUAUUUGUAAACUGCAUUUUUCUACCUUCUUAAAGAGAGUGCCCUGCUUCCUUUCUCAGUAAUUCAAAGUCUUUUUUAUGAUAUAGCUCUAAGUGUAUUUGAGGAGGUGUUGAUAUGUUUCUUUUGCAAAAGACCAAGGAAAAGUAAAAGUAUUUGGAGGCCACUUUAAAAAAAAAUAACACAUACAUAUAUUCUGGCUGUUUUAAAAAACAGGAAAUACAGUAUUUGUAACUGUGCUUAAUAGUUUUUAAAAAUUAUUUCUCAGGUAAUUUGGGGUGGUGAUGUGGAGGAAUAGUAAGGAAGAAUGACAUUUCAGAAAAUUUGAUUUUUCUGACUUGUAGUACAAUACUGUGCUUUUCAACAAAUUUUGUUGAUCAUUAGUACAUUUAAGAUGAAGUGUUUUCUUGUCCCUUAACUGACUUGACGAACUACUCAGUUAAAAGGUAAGGAUAACUCAAGUGAUUCUGAAUAUUAUAUCCUAUAAGACUGGAUGAUUUCAUCACUAACAGCAACAUAACAGCUAGUUCAUGGAGCUGGGCGGGUUCUCUCAGUUUUCUUUAGUCCUAUCAAUAAUUGUGUAAUGUGUGUACUAUUAUUUUCCUAUUUUACAGAUCAGAGAAAAAAAUGCUUAGAGGAGUUUUUUGCUUUCCCUGUGCCACAUAGUUACUGAGUUAAGAAUUAAACUUGUAGUCACCACACUUCUACCCACUGUCUCCCAUCUAUAACAUGAAGAAAGUACCCUUCCAAGAAGUUCUUCUUGUGCUUCUUAGUCCACUUCAUAGCAACAUCCAAAGCAGUUUUUGAUCCAUGUAGAAGACAGCCUUGGGGGAGGGGUUGUGGCUCAGUGGUAGAGUGUUCAACAAGCAUGUGUGAGGC
RNAcentral lists this long non-coding RNA (920 nucleotides) under Marmota monax (woodchuck). The record is from RNAcentral. Lineage: Eukaryota; Metazoa; Chordata; Mammalia; Rodentia; Sciuridae.